RNAcentral lists this ribosomal RNA (397 nucleotides) under uncultured bacterium. RNAcentral describes it as "bacterial SSU rRNA". It matches the Rfam family "Bacterial small subunit ribosomal RNA", at positions 362 to 776 of the family's 1533-position model. The record is from RNAcentral.
UAUUGCACAAUGGGCGAAAGCCUGAUGCCGCGACGCCGCGUGAGCGAAGAAGUAUUUCGGUAUGUAAAGCUCUAUCAGCAGGAAAGAUANUGACGGUACCUGACUAAGAAGCACCGGCUAAAUACGUGCCAGCAGCCGCGGUAAUACGUAUGGUGCAAGCGUUAUCCGGAUUUACUGGGUGUAAAGGGAGCGCAGGCGGUGGGGCAAGUAUGAUAUGAAAGCCCGGGGCUCAACCCCGGUACUGCAUUGGAAACUGUCGUACUAGAGUGUCGGAGGGGUAAGCGGAAUUCCUAGUGUAGCGGUGAAAUGCGUAGAUAUUAGGAGGAACACCAGUGGCGAAGGCGGCUUACUGGACGAUAACUGACGCUGAGGCUCGAAAGCGUGGGGAGCAAACAGG